AUGUUGCGGCGGUGCAGUUGGAUUUGUGCAUUUAGAUUUUGUCAGGUUUUGUUUGUGUUUUCUGUAGUGCAGUUAGACACUGGUGAUAAUUGUGUUAUUCUACUGCUGGCGCAGCUUUGCUGUUUCAUGGUAUGCGGUUCCGGUGGUGCGGGCAAGCAGUACACGGUUGCGCCUGUGUCCAAGUGGUGUGGUCCGGCUUCCGCGGAACAUGUAGCUCGCUAUCUCAUCGUACACGGUUCUAGCGGCGCGGGCAAGCACUACACGGCCACACCUGCGUCCAAGUGGUGCAGCUCGGUACUCAUGUCGGCGCAGCUCACAACAGCAAAAGGCUUGGUCUCUACUAGACUGGAAACAAUUGCAUCUUGCUUCCACAAAAUGGUAAUAAUACAAGGAGUUAUUUGGACCAUGUAG
Molecule: ribosomal RNA, 411 nt
Filed under: Triticum aestivum (bread wheat)
Lineage: Eukaryota; Viridiplantae; Streptophyta; Magnoliopsida; Poales; Poaceae
Description: partial small subunit ribosomal RNA
Source: RNAcentral